Molecule: long non-coding RNA, 1717 nt
Filed under: Homo sapiens (human)
Lineage: Eukaryota; Metazoa; Chordata; Mammalia; Primates; Hominidae
Description: non-protein coding LINC01355:3
Source: RNAcentral
UUUUUUUUCCUAUUUUUUUUUUUAUCAGUAGUGGGGCAUUAAGUGUGGGAGAAUGCCCAUAUCCUAUAAGUGGGCAAUUAUGUCAGCCUUGUAGAAAAAUAGGACUUUAAUAUUAAAUUAUUUUGUUCUUAAUAGGAACAUAUAAUAACACUUCACUUACUUUUAAAUUGGUAGCAGAUCAGCAGGAAAGGCCUGCAAGUAUGAAGUAAUGAAAUACUCAGGGUAUAUUUUAAGUGAGCAAAAUAGACACCUUAUAAUCUUAAAAAGUCUCUUGGAGAGACAAUAAAUUUGCUUUAACUGUCAUUUCAGUCUAGUAUUAUAUUUUCUAUAUUUUGUUGGAUAGAUUAACAUAUAAUGCAUCUUAAAGAGAUAUUUAUUGCACACUAAUUUUAGUGAAAACAAGAAGACAUUGAUAGAAUGGAGGGCUUAAACACCAAAGAUACUAUUUUUAAAAAUCUUCCAAAGUAAUCUUAACACUGUAAAAUGAAACUUUAAAAAGUUUUAGCAGUUUGACAAUAAUGGCCUCAAUUUAGAGAUAUGUUGAGACAAUGACUUUGGGUCAAGAGGAAAUUACAUAGCUGAAAUAUUAAGACCUUGAACAUAGCAGAAACAUAAACCUAUGAACAACUUGUGUUUUGUGUGAAAGCUAGGGUAGCUGAUAGGAUUAGCAGAUAUUGGUAGAAUUAAGAGUCAAUAUUUAAAUUAUUGCUAAAGAUUAAAAUCCCUCAUCUUAUAGUUUGUAGGGGAUUCCAUGAUGGUAAGGUAUAGAUUGAAAUUAAAUUUAGUAACUAGGCAUUUCUGACCAUACCAUAUAAAAAAUAAUUGUAAUAUGGUAUAAACACUGAUUAAAAGUAAUUAUGGAUUUUCAUGCCUGAAGAACCUUCUCAGUAUUCUUACAGCACUGUAUCUUCUUUAUUGGUUGAGAAUAUCAGUCUAGAAAGACUUUCCUAGAUGUUAAAUGUGCUAGUCAGUGUCAUGAAUAUAAACCCUUACUUGUAAGUUUGCUAUAGACUAGUUGUACAACACUAGAAUGAAAUUAUGUAAUACUUUUAAGAAUUGUAGUGAUUGCAGGGUUGUGUUAAGGUAACAUUUUAUGCAUGUGUCAGUGACAGAAAGGAUCAGGGUAUAAAACUUAGCACUAAAUAGCAUGCUCCUUAGGAAGUUUUAAGGUAAGCAGUAGGAAUAUUCAUGUAAUUCUGAUGAGUUUAUGUAAGUUAAGGAAAAUGCAAUGCCAGUUUGUUGACUUUAAACACUAAAAACAAAAUACAUUUUGUGGAACCAACAAAGGAGACAUUCUGGGGAAAAACUUAAAUUGCUCAAAUUUAAAUAAGGGCUCUCACUUUAUAUAGUAGAUUUGUCAGGAUCCCAUGAACAUUGCUUUUCUUGAUUUCUCACAUAUGAGGGUUGGGCAAAAGGGACUUCUCUAGCCUCUUCGAUAAUGUAGGUAGACUUGUACUUAGUGAAUCCCAUUAUAAUGUUAGGUACUAUGUUCUAAGACUAUUUCUAUAAUUGGACUGAAGGCUCCUGCAAACAUAAAUUGCUGAUAUGGAUAUAGUAACAUAAGAAAUACCAAAAUAGGGACAUUUGCAAGACCUUUUCCAUUUAAUCAUCAGUUUAAUAAAAAUCAUGCUUUUGGUACAGUGUUCAUGUACCAUAACUGUAUUGGAAUAUUUGUACGAUGUUAAAUAUUUUUAAUAAAAUUUAACAUGUUCAAAAU